CCUCCUUGUCUCUUCCUUUCUGCCUCUUGGUCCAUGGGCGUACGCCUGCACCAGCCAAGUCGCGUGAGGGAUGAAGGUUCUAUGGAUCGUAAACCUCUUUUAUAAGGGAAUAAAGUGCGGGACGUGUCCCGUUUUGUAUGUACCUUAUGAAUAAGGAUCGGCUAACUCCGUGCCAGCAGCCGCGGUAAUACGGAGGAUCCGAGCGUUAUCCGGAUUUAUUGGGUUUAAAGGGUGCGUAGGCGGCCUUUUAAGUCAGCGGUGAAAGUCUGUGGCUCAACCAUAGAAUUGCCGUUGAAACUGGGAGGCUUGAGUAUGUUUGAGGCAGGCGGAAUGCGUGGUGUAGCGGUGAAAUGCUUAGAUAUCACGCAGAACCCCGAUUGCGAAGGCAGCCUGCCAAGCCAUGACUGACGCUGAAGCACGAAAGCGUGGGUAUCGAACAGGAUUAGAUACCCUGGUAGUC
RNAcentral lists this ribosomal RNA (460 nucleotides) under uncultured bacterium. Its description in RNAcentral is "partial 16S ribosomal RNA". It matches the Rfam family "Bacterial small subunit ribosomal RNA", at positions 338 to 795 of the family's 1533-position model. The record is from RNAcentral.